Anopheles funestus (African malaria mosquito) is the source of this 732-nucleotide long non-coding RNA. RefSeq lists it as uncharacterized. The transcript is spliced from 3 exons. Lineage: Eukaryota; Metazoa; Arthropoda; Insecta; Diptera; Culicidae. The record is from RefSeq and is a predicted model, not a curated record.
AUGUGUAUUGGCUAAUGUGUCUUGGCUAAGGUGUCUUGGCUAAUGUGUCUCGGCUAAGGUGUCUUGGCUAAGGUGUCUUGGCUAAGGUGUCUUGGCUAAUGUGUCUUGGCUAAUGUGUCUUGGCUAAUGUGUCUCGGCUAAGGUGUCUUGGCUAAUGUGUCUUGGCUAAUGUGUCUUGGCUAAGGUGUCUUGGCUAAUGUGUCUUGGCUAAGGUGUCUUGGCUAAGGUGUCUUGGCUAAUGUGUCUUGGCUAAGGUGUCUUGGCUAAGGUGUCUCUGCUAAUGUGUCUCGGCUAAAGUGUCUUGGCUAAUGUGUCUUGGCUAAGGUGUCUUGGCUAAGAUGUCUUGGCUAAGGUAUCUUGGCUAAUGUGUCUUGGCUAAGGUGUCUUGGCUAAUGUGUCUUGGCUAAUGUGUCUUGGCUAAUGUGUCUUGGCUAAGGUGUCUUGGCUAAGGUGUCAUGGCUAAGGUGUCUUGGCUAAUGUGUCUUGGCUAAUGUGCCUUGGCUAAUGUGUCUUGGCUAAUGUGUCUUGGCUAAUGUGUCUUGGCUAAGGUGUCUUGGCUAAGGUGUCUUGGCUAUUGUGUCUUGGCUAAGGUGUCUUGGCUAAGGUGUCUUGGCUAAGGUGUCUUGGCUAAUGUGUCUUGGCUAAUGUGUCUUGGCUAAGGUGUCUUGGCUAAGGUGUCUUGGCUAAUGUGUCUUGGCUAAUGUGUCUUGGCUAAUGUGUCGGAGAAUGUGU